RNAcentral lists this ribosomal RNA (264 nucleotides) under uncultured bacterium. RNAcentral describes it as "partial 16S ribosomal RNA". It matches the Rfam family "Bacterial small subunit ribosomal RNA", at positions 793 to 1055 of the family's 1533-position model. The record is from RNAcentral.
GUCCACGCUGUAAACGAUGGGCACUAGGUGUAGGAGGUAUUGACCCCUUCUGUGCCGAAGCUAACGCAUUAAGUGCCCCGCCUGGGGAGUACGGCCGCAAGGCUAAACUCAAAGGAAUUGACGGGGCCCGCACAAGCGGUGGAGCAUGUGGUUCAAUUCGACGCAACGCGAAGAACCUUACCUGGGUUUGACAUCCGCUGACCGUCCUGGAAACAGGAUUUUCCCCGCAAGGGGACAGCGAGACAGGUGCUGCAUGGCUGUCGU